This 436-nucleotide ribosomal RNA is filed under the name uncultured Lachnospiraceae bacterium. Its description in RNAcentral is "partial 16S ribosomal RNA". It matches the Rfam family "Bacterial small subunit ribosomal RNA", at positions 341 to 792 of the family's 1533-position model. Lineage: Bacteria; Bacillati; Bacillota; Clostridia; Lachnospirales; Lachnospiraceae. The record is from RNAcentral.
ACGGAAGGCAGCAGUGGGGAAUAUUGGACAAUGGGGGAAACCCUGAUCCAGCGACGCCGCGUGAGUGAAGAAGUAUUUCGGUAUGUAAAGCUCUAUCAGCAGGGAAGAAGAAAUGACGGUACCUGACUAAGAAGCCCCGGCUAACUACGUGCCAGCAGCCGCGGUAAUACGUAGGGGGCAAGCGUUAUCCGGAUUUACUGGGUGUAAAGGGAGCGCAGGCGGCAGGGCAAGUCUGAUGUGAAAACCCGGGGCUUAACUUCGGGACUGCAUUGGAAACUGCUCAGCUUGAGUGUCGGAGAGGUAAGUGUAAUUCCUAGUGUAGCGGUGAAAUGCGUAGAUAUUAGGAGGAACACCAGUGGCGAAGGCGGCUUACUGGACGACAACUGACGCUGAGGCUCGAAAGCGUGGGGAGCAAACAGGAUUAGAUACCCUGGUA